Molecule: non-coding RNA, 26 nt
Filed under: Mus musculus (house mouse)
Lineage: Eukaryota; Metazoa; Chordata; Mammalia; Rodentia; Muridae
Source: RNAcentral
UGGCCGUGGAAAGCUAGCCACUGUGC